UCCAUUUCUUUUGAUAUCAUUUUUUUGAAAAUUUUACUCAUAAUCUGCUCACUGGGGGGGAUUUAAAAUUGUAACUUUUUAACAAAAACUAACUUUUUCAACUUAAUUUUUGAAAAUGUUCCGGAAAUACUUCGUUCUUUAAAUAUAUAUCAAAUUAAAAAUUAUUUUAUGUACUCUAAAAUAAAAAAAAAAAUUUGUCCCGACACUUUAUCUUUUGCAUGCAAACGGCUGCCGUAGUUAAAAAAACGCUAUUUUUGUGUUAAAAUCAUGGGUUUUGUAUUUUAUUUUAUUUUAAAAUAUCUUAUAAAGGCAAUACACUGACUUUCAUAAAUAUUAUAUAAUUUAAUUGACAUAAAAUAAAGUUCGAAAAAACUAAAAAAGAAGAAAUUUCUUAUUCAUGUUAAUAUUAUUUUACUGUGUGAUUCUUUUGUGGCCAUGAAACCCUCACUUAACUUAUUUUUUUCAACGAUACGUCAAUUGAUUACAAUUCGUAUUUAGUUGAAGAUAUUACUCUCAAAAUUUGAAAAAAAUCCCUUAAUCAAAUAACAAGUAGCUUAACCAGCUUUAUCCAUACAAACAAUUAAAAUCAUUAAACAUUAAAUGUAAUAUUCUCCUUUGGAAUAUUAAUAAAAUCAAUGUGUUUAAUAUUUAAUAUUUAUUUAAACAUUUUUCAUGUUUCUAUUAUAAUAGUAGAAUCAGUUUAAUAAUGAAUCAGUUGAUGGAAAUUGUCUUCAUCUUGGAACACAACCAUGGUUAAAUUUCGAUACGGAGGAAGAUUUGAUGGAUCUAAUAACACAGGGAACGUAUGUUGAUGAUAUAAAAACCACCAGAUUAUCAAGAAAUGAUAAAAGACGUUAGGAGUUGGAAUGUAGAAUUUGAUGACGAAGAAUGUGCUCGAGAGAUUGAUGAAUUAUCUCUAUACGUGUUCAAAAAUUAUGAAACACACUGGAAGAAACAGAAGUUAAAUAAGAAGAUGGAAUACUCCAUUUGAUUGAGCCAUCUUGAUUAAAUGGUUUUUUGCUUUGUGUAGUUUUUUUAUACUUUUAAUUAGAUAGUUAAUUAGUGUAUCAUUAGAACUAUAAACAUUUAAAAGAGAGGGGAAGAGAAAA
Daktulosphaira vitifoliae (grape phylloxera) is the source of this 1109-nucleotide long non-coding RNA. RefSeq lists it as uncharacterized. The record is from RefSeq and is a predicted model, not a curated record. The transcript has 3 exons. Lineage: Eukaryota; Metazoa; Arthropoda; Insecta; Hemiptera; Phylloxeridae.